ACUUCCUCCACAACAGGUACGGACCACCCUAAAUGGAAAGUACUCACAUUUUGCCUGUCGUAUGUUGUGCUUUUCGACACCAAAACCUGCCUUUCCUUUGUGCUGGAAUAACCUCCUUUUUAUUACAAUUGGCCGUGUGACAGGGAGUCAUUGCUAUUUCACCGCGUUACUGCGUUCACACCCACAGCUGAGCAGCACAGAUAUGGCUUUACUGUUGGGUUCCUGACUGCUCAGCCAGUUUUGUUCUCCCUGGCUUCUCCCUGACUCAGAAGAGUCAUAGGCAUGUUAGAGCUUAGAGUUCCUUUUUUUUCCUGUACUGUAGGGCUUGGCCUCCAGUUUUGGCUUUGUUUAUAUCCCAAGGUAUCAGAUAGCAAAUUAAGUUCAAGGCAGUGAUGGUGUCCUGCUCGGAAAUGGAUGUGCUGGAUGGCAGAAGAGGAUUCUUGGCCAAGUAUGGAAUCAUCUCUGUUCCUUCACAAAGGAACAAAACAAGGCAACAGAGACGUUGACAGCAGCGAUGGUGAUGGAGAUGUUCAGACUGGAGGAGCUCUUGGCUCGCUGCAGCCACCCCACCACAACAGCAUCCCCAGAGCUCCCUGCUGGCCCUGGAGGAGUCAGAGUGCUCUGUGCUGGAAGAAGAGGAGUCGAGGCUGCUGGAGACAUCUGGGCUCAGUGGCUCCGUGGCAGUGAUGCACUGCAUCAGCUCUUCCAUUUGGCAGCUGUUCGCAGUGUCUUUGGUCCCCUCUCUUGUGACACCGGGCAGGUCCUGGUUGUGCUGGGGGACCUCCAGAGCACUCGCCGCUUCUGAGAAAGCAAGAACAUCCCCCCGAACGAUGAUGGCAGUCUUCCCACACCCGCUCGGUGCAGGCACCCACCCGUCACCUCUGCAGACCACAGUCUCACCGUCAAUCCAG
Gallus gallus (chicken) is the source of this 911-nucleotide long non-coding RNA. RefSeq lists it as uncharacterized. The record is from RefSeq and is a predicted model, not a curated record. NCBI's taxonomy places the organism in Eukaryota, Metazoa, Chordata, Aves, Galliformes, Phasianidae. The transcript is spliced from 3 exons.